AAGCAGAGGGGGCUUAGUGGUGGGGUGACUGCGUACCUUUUGUAUAAUGGGUCAGCGACUUAUAUUCUGUAGCAAGGUUAACCGAAUAGGGGAGCCGGAGGGAAACCGAGUCUUAAUUGGGCGUUAAGUUGCAGGGUAUAGACCCGAAACCCGGUGAUCUAGCCAUGGGCAGGUUGAAGGUUGGGUAACACUAACUGGAGGACCGAACCGACUAAUGUUGAAAAAUUAGCGGAUGACCUGUGGCUGGGGGUGAAAGGCCAAUCAAACCGGGAGAUAGCUGGUUCUCCCCGAAAGCUAUUUAGGUAGCGCCUCGUGAAUUCAUCUCCGGGGGUAGAGCACUGUUUCGGCUAGGGGGCCAUCCCGGCUUACCAACCCGAUGCAAACUGCGAAUACCGGAGAAUGUUAUCACGGGAGACACACGGCGGGUGCUAACGUCCGUCGUGAAGAGGGAAACAACCCAGACCGCCAGCUAAGGUCCCAAAGUCAUGGUUAAGUGGGAAACGAUGUGGGAAGGCCCAGACAGCCAGGAUGUUGGCUUAGAAGCAGCCAUCAUUUAAAGAAAGCGUAAUAGCUCACUGGUCGAGUCGGCCUGCGCGGAAGAUGUAACGGGGCUAAACCAUG
RNAcentral lists this ribosomal RNA (621 nucleotides) under Salmonella enterica. RNAcentral's name for it is "partial 23S ribosomal RNA". It matches the Rfam family "Bacterial large subunit ribosomal RNA", at positions 568 to 1191 of the family's 2925-position model. Lineage: Bacteria; Pseudomonadati; Pseudomonadota; Gammaproteobacteria; Enterobacterales; Enterobacteriaceae. The record is from RNAcentral. RNAcentral also lists the same sequence under 3 other names.